AUUGAACGCUGGCGGAAUGCUUUACACAUGCAAGUCGAGCGGCAGCGCGGGGGCAACCCUGGCGGCGAGCGGCGAACGGGUGAGUAAUACAUCGGAACGUGUCCUUAAGUGGGGGAUAGCUCGGCGAAAGCCGGAUUAAUACCGCAUAAGCUCUGAGGAGGAAAGCGGGGGGCUCCGUAAGGACCUCGCGCUGUUGGAGCGGCCGAUGUCGGAUUAGCUAGUUGGUGGGGUAAAGGCCCACCAAGGCGACGAUCCGUAGCUGGUCUGAGAGGAUGAUCAGCCACACUGGAACUGAGACACGGUCCAGACUCCUACGGGAGGCAGCAGUGGGGAAUUUUGGACAAUGGGGGCAACCCUGAUCCAGCCAUUCCGCGUGAGUGAAGAAGGCC
RNAcentral lists this ribosomal RNA (389 nucleotides) under uncultured bacterium. Its description in RNAcentral is "bacterial SSU rRNA". It matches the Rfam family "Bacterial small subunit ribosomal RNA", at positions 29 to 416 of the family's 1533-position model. The record is from RNAcentral.